RNAcentral lists this ribosomal RNA (403 nucleotides) under uncultured bacterium. RNAcentral describes it as "partial 16S ribosomal RNA". It matches the Rfam family "Bacterial small subunit ribosomal RNA", at positions 30 to 526 of the family's 1533-position model. The record is from RNAcentral.
AUUGAACGCUGGCGGCAGGCCUAACACAUGCAAGUCGAGCGAGCGGCGGACGGGUGAGUAAUGUAUGGGGACUGCCCGACAGAGGGGGAUAACUACUGGAAACGGUAGCUAAUACCGCAUACUAUCGGAUAACCCAUAUGGGUUGAGCUAGUAGGUGAGGUAAUGGCUCACCUAGGAGACGAUCCCUAGCUGGUCUGAAAGGAUGAUCAGCCACACUGGGACUGAGACAAGGCCCAGACGUCUACGGAGGCAGCAGUGGGGAAUAUUGCACAAUGGGCGCAAGCCUGAUGAAGCGAUGCCGCGUGUAUGAAGAGGGCCAUAGGGUUGUAAAGUACUUUCAGGCGGGAGGCGUUACCGACAGAAGAAGCACCGGCUAACGCCGUGCCAGCAGCCGCGGUCAUAC